Molecule: transfer RNA, 541 nt
Filed under: uncultured Prochlorococcus sp.
Lineage: Bacteria; Bacillati; Cyanobacteriota; Cyanophyceae; Synechococcales; Prochlorococcaceae
Description: partial 16S-23S ribosomal RNA intergenic spacer
Rfam family: tRNA (bases 212-284)
Source: RNAcentral
CAGGGAGACAACAAAAUGUUUAAUAUUAUUAUUUUGUCACCUUAGGUCGAUCGGUACCUCACGUUUUUAAUUUAUUAAGAAUUUCAUUUCCUAAGUUUUUCUAGGUCACACCCAUUAUUUUUCCUGGGCCAUUAGCUCAGGUGGUUAGAGCGCACCCCUGAUAAGGGUGAGGUCUCUGGUUCAAGUCCAGGAUGGCCUAUAUCUCUAUGUUGGGGGUAUAGCUCAGUUGGUAGAGCGCCUGCUUUGCAAGCAGGAUGUCAGCGGUUCGAGUCCGCUUACCUCCACUGAUUACCACCUCUUCCAUAAAAUGUAGAAGGGAAAUCUUUUGAGUUGUGAUCACUUUCUGAACGAAUCUAGCUUCCUAAUGCAGUCAUUAAGAUGCUGGACUCAUUGAAUUAAUUUCAUUGUUUUCAGAGAACCUUGACNACUGCAUAGAUUAUUUUUAAAGACAAUAAGCAUCUUUAAAUGAUGCAGAUUUAUUAUUUGUGCGAAUGCAUUAAUAACAAUUCUAUUAAGCUGAUGCUUCAAUUUUGAAGUUAUU